CCGAAAGGCGUAGGCGAUGGAUAACGGGUUGAUAUUCCCGUACCGGCGAAGGACCGCCCAUACUGAGCUGUGGAUGCUAACCAUGACGGAUUCCAGUUGUUGAUGCCUUCGGGUGUCUUGUUGGUUGAUGUGGUGGGAACCGAUGCAGUGAGGUCAGCGUAUUAACAGGUGUGACGCAGGAAGGUAGCCGAGCCAGGCAAUGGAAUUGACCUGGUCCAAGGGUGUAGGAAGAGUGGUUGGCAAAUCCGCCGCUCAUAUGUUCUGAAACCUGAUAGGCGCCCACUUUUGUGGGUGAUUCGGUGAUCCUAUGCUGCCUAAAAAAGCAUCGGCGCGAGGUCCCAGUCCGCCCGUACCCCAAACCAACACUGG
RNAcentral lists this ribosomal RNA (369 nucleotides) under uncultured Actinomycetes bacterium. RNAcentral's name for it is "bacterial LSU rRNA". It matches the Rfam family "Bacterial large subunit ribosomal RNA", at positions 1402 to 1663 of the family's 2925-position model. Lineage: Bacteria; Bacillati; Actinomycetota; Actinomycetes. The record is from RNAcentral.